GCAUGGCUGGCGGGCUGGGUGGAGUAGGGGCGGAGCCUGGGCGCCUAUCUUCACGGGGUACUGAGACUAGCUGGGGUACUUUGGAGGGCAGGCGUCGUGCUGAGUCCGAGGACAGAGGUGGCAGAGCCUCGGGGUAGCCAGUUACAGCCGACCACUUAAAAUGAGUCAACGUUUCUCGUUUGUUCAUUUCUUCAGAGUCAACGUUUCUCGUUCGUUCAUUUCUUCAGCAAAAGUUAUCCUUUGAGGCAAAGACUCCGGAGUCUGGUUGAUGGAAGGUAAAACAGAGUCCUGCAUACCGCUGUGUGACCUCAAAUUGGACAACCUCUCUGAGCCACAGCAUCUUCGGCUGAUAAGUGGAGAUAAUUAUACCCUCCCAAGUUGUUGUACAUGAGUUUGAGCAAGCUCCAGGAGUUGGUGAUGGACAGGGAAGCCUGGCGUGCUGCAGUCCGUGGGGUCGCUAAGAGUCGGACACGACUGAGCGACUGAACUGAAGUUGUUGUAAAGAUUACAUGAGGUGCACUUGCCUGCAAAUAACCAAACGCAUGAAGCCCAAAUUCACAGAACAAUAGGAACAUUCAGAAACAAGUGCAGUGCCAACAUGCUUUCAAAGAGGCAUAAGGAGAGUACCUCUCACCUGAGGACCAGAUGAGCUGCUUCGGGGAUGAAGGACUGGAGGACAGAGAGAACUUCCUGCUUCUGCCAGUUUCUUCAAAUUCCUUCAGCUUAAAAUACUCAGUGUGCCAAAUGGCCAUAUUUUGGGGUAUCAUUUCCUGAAUCCCAUCAACAGCAAACCCAAAAUAAGUAAAUGAUCAAGAGAGUUUCCCGUAGUAAUAGUGGUGGUGGUGCUUAGUCAAUCAGUCUGACUUUUUGCAGCUUCAUGGACUGUAGCCCGCCAGGCUGCUCCGUCCAUGGGAUUUCCCAGGCAAGAAUACUGGAGUGGGUUGCCAUUCCCUUCUCCAGGGGAUCUUCCUGACUCAGGGGUCAAACCUGUGUCUCCUGCCUUUCCUGCAGUGGCAGGUAGAUUCUUUACCACUAGUGCCACCUGGGAAGCCCCUGCCCCUCGUAGUAAUAGUGCUUAUAAUUAACAGAUGAAAUAUAAGUGAUGGGUGACCAGGAAAGGACAGAGGCUACAUUAGACGGAGGUCCCAGAGAAUGUCUGGCUAAGAAGGUUACAGUUUGCCAAGACCUGAAUGACAAGUAAGAGGAAAUUAACUGAGGACCUGAGAUCCAAGAAUUCCAGGCCAAGGUCUGAAAUUGAAGAACAGAGGAGUGCUAAGGUGGCUGGAGCCUGGUUACCCAGGAGAGAGUAGUAGGAAAAGAAUUCAGAGAGGAAUGCUAGAGGCAAGAUCACAGACGGCCUUUCAGCCAAGGCAAGGACUUUAAAUUUUAUUCAGAGCACAGUGAGUUUUAAGGAGAGAAGUAGACUGAUGGUUCUGAUUGCUACAGCAAGAAGAAUGCAGGAGACAGUAGAAGCAGGAAAGUCAGAGAGAAAUCUGGUACAGAUGCCCCAUGAUAGAUGACCGUGCAUGCAGGAUAGAAACAAUGAAGAUGAAAAUUAGUUGAAUGCACUGUGGAAAUCAGAAAUUAUAGUUUUAAUUUCCUACACUGAUCACAGUUAAAGAAAUAUGUUACAAUUGUAUUUAAUAAGAAGCUUUGUGGAAUGUAAUUGCUUUGUUGAAAUGUCCCUUCACAGUAAGAUAAGGAGGAAGUUAGAAAAUAAAAUGGGAGAAAUUCUUAAUUAAGUUUAAAUUUAUACAGGUUCUUUUAUUAUGUUUAUUGAGAAGAGCAUCCAGAGAGAUGGAAUGUUAAUUUCAAGGUUUUUGUUUAAUCUCUUAGGAAGGUAACAUCCACUCAAAGCAUAUGCUUAUGAAACAACAUAUAUUGUUUUUUUUUUCAUCUAUUGGGUGUGUUGUUAUAAGAAGUGAAAUUUGUUUCUUAGCUUAAAAGAGCUCACAAACUUUCAAAAGAGCUUUCCCAUCAUAUAAAAUCUAGGUUCUUUGACUAGUUAGAACUUGAGGCCCUUGAGUCUUAUUUUCUCAUUGCAGACUGAGAGCUAAUAAACAGUGCCUUCCGUGGAUUCCGAUACAACGCACUAUGUGAAGUUGCCUGUCUUCAACAGAAGGAAAAUUCUCAUUUACUUGGCUGAGAUUAGCUGAAGCGUUUCCAAACGCACACUCCCAAAUUUCACAGUAAAAAUGACUGGAAACACACCACAUGAGCUUAAAAUAAACACACCCCAUUCAAAAACCGGGUACUGUGGCCUUUCUCAUACUUAACAAAAAUAUAAAAAUAAAAUCGCUAUUCCCCUUUAUUCAAAAAAGGGAGAGUAACCUCAUUGGAUUUGGGGUAAGGGAGGGAAGGACUGAGCUUCAGUUCAGAAGCAGGGCAGCAUGCUAGAUAGUAUGGGUUCUGAUGAAG
Long non-coding RNA from Cervus elaphus (red deer), 2418 nucleotides. RefSeq lists it as uncharacterized. Lineage: Eukaryota; Metazoa; Chordata; Mammalia; Artiodactyla; Cervidae. The record is from RefSeq and is a predicted model, not a curated record. The transcript is spliced from 3 exons.